UGCAGGAACUGGCCGGAGAGGCCAAGGAGACCAGCAGCACGAGAGCGAGGCCAAAGCAAGGUAUGUGCAAUUUCUUGCUCUGUGUCUUGUUUGAGCACUGGAGUGUCUGCAUGGUUUCCUGGUGAAACUAGGACGGAAACCAGAGCGUAUGUUGUGCCCUGCCUGGAUAAGACAUCAGUGGUGGUCUAUUCAUGAACACCAUGAGGGGGGAAGAAAGAUCUUGCUCCCAUUAUGCGUUGGUCCUCGCAGUCGUAGUCAGCACGAAGAAAAGAAUGGGUGGUUCACACUGUGUGACGGCUGCCUGCUAUAAUCCACUGACCAGUCAAUUUCCAAAUCUUACUGAAUAGUGACCGUACAAAAUAUUGCUUUUCUAGACCCUAAUAACUAAUUCCUGACCCAGUCUGUCUAGAAUUGUUACUUGAAGCGAUAAUUUUCUUGACCUGACAUGACUUGUCUUACCGGCUUCACCAAACAAUUCUCACAUUUUCCCACUGAUACUGACAACCAAAUAUCGGUUCUUGAUGCAGGAAAGAAAAGCAGGGCAUAAGAGAAAGAAACAGUAGGUGAAGAAGAUUUUGCGAAGAUUCUACCGGGCGAGACAAUGCGCCGGGAAGAUCGUACCGAAAGGCGCCUGCGAUUGAGAGCAAUCAUCAUGGUGUGUAGACAAAGGCCAAGUGGAGGGCAGGAAGAAAGUGCAGUUUCCUGGCUUCCUGGCUUAAUGGACGGGGUGGGUGGUCGAUCCGUGCGGUCUCCUCCAUCCCCUUCUUGACCCGGGGGCGUUUACUUGCCCUUGUCACGCGUGCGUGCGUGCGAGCUUCGUCUGAUGUUUACGUUUGCUCUUCUUUUGCCAUUCUCCUGGCUCCACUGGCGCACUAUAAUUGCGGACCGUGGACGGUGACGCUUUGUGGCUGUCAUCUGAAGUUUGAACCGUAACUUGGGGUGCUGGCAAUGGUGAUGCUAAGUACAGUUUUCUACUCCUAUUACUGUUGUUUUGGAAUGUUAAUUAGUUUACUUGAAUACAAAGGUGGUGUUGAUUAGUUUACUUGGAUAGGUCGACAGCUCCAAUUAUAUGGAUAAACCCUUUUUAAGAACUAUAUUAAGCGAAAUUGCC
RNAcentral lists this long non-coding RNA (1111 nucleotides) under Triticum aestivum (bread wheat). Its description in RNAcentral is "long non-coding RNA (TAES_LNC009989)". The record is from RNAcentral. Lineage: Eukaryota; Viridiplantae; Streptophyta; Magnoliopsida; Poales; Poaceae.